UACGUAGGGGGCGAGCGUUAUCCGGAAUUAUUGGGCGUAAAGAGUGCGUAGGCGGUAAAUUAAGUCUAAGGUUAAAGUGCAGGGCUCAACCCUGUGAUGCCUUAGAAACUGGUUUACUUGAGUUUGGUAGAGGUAAGUGGAACUCCAUGUGUAGCGGUAAAAUGCGUAAAUAUAUGGAAGAACACCAGUGGCGAAGGCGGCUUACUGGGCCACAACUGACGCUGAGGCACGAAAGCGUGGGGAGCAAACAGGAUUAGAUACCCUGGUAGUCCACGCUGUAAACGAUGAAUACUAAGUGUUGGAAAAAUCCAGUGCUGAAGUUAACGCAUUAAGUAUUCCGCCUGAGUAGUACGUACGCAAGUAUGAAACUCAAAUGAAUUGACGGGG
Molecule: ribosomal RNA, 387 nt
Filed under: uncultured bacterium
Lineage: Bacteria
Description: partial 16S ribosomal RNA
Rfam family: Bacterial small subunit ribosomal RNA
Source: RNAcentral